Molecule: long non-coding RNA, 1822 nt
Filed under: Homo sapiens (human)
Lineage: Eukaryota; Metazoa; Chordata; Mammalia; Primates; Hominidae
Description: non-protein coding lnc-KCNMB1-3:4
Source: RNAcentral
CAGGAAUGCCUCUGCACUGUUGGCCCUGUGGGCAUUGGAUAAGCCUGGGUGCUGGGGCAGGCGCCAGGCCAGGUCCUGGGUGGCCUCUGUAGUGAAAUGCAGCCCUGGUUACCUCCAGCCUCCAUCUCUCCUGGGGAGAUUAACAUUAUUGAAUCUCUACAACAUCCUAGAACACCCUAGACAGGAGGUCUUUUUUUUUUUUUUUUUUUUUUUUGAGACAGGGUCUCACUCUGUCAUCCAGGCUGGAAUGCAGUGGCAAAAUCAUGGCUCACUGCGGCCUUGAACCCCCGGGAUCAAGCAAUCCUCCAGCCUCAGCCUCCCAGGUAGCUGGAUCAGCAGAUGCGCACCACCGUGAUCAGCUAAUUUUCUUCAUUUUUUUUGUAGAGUUGAGGUCUCACUAAGUUGCCCAGGCUGGUCUGGAACUCCUGGACUCGAGCAAUCCCCCCGCCUUGGCCUCCCAAAGUGCUGGGCUUACAGACAUGAGCCACCGUGUCCAGCUGACAGGAGGUCUUAACAUCCUUGUUUUUCGGACGAGGAAACUGAGGCGUGGAGAGGUGGAGACUUACACAAGAUCAUAGAGCGAAUAGAGGGCAGAGCUGGAGUCUGAAGUCAGUCUGACCGACCAUGAAACUCACAUGUCAUCCUGACACCAUUCCAAUCCUGUGAGGUGCUUUCACUAUGCAACCCUCCCUGCAGCAGUCCCGAGAAUGUGAUCCUGAGUUUACUUCUGAUGAAAGCAAGGCUCAGAGGGGCCACCUGCCUAAGGGCGUGCAGCUGGAAUGCGGGGAGCCAGGACUCAAGCUCUGGUCUGUCUCAUUCACUUGGAAGCCAGGCCCCUUUCCUCCCUCCCGCUCUGCGUGCAGGAGCUCCGUGGUGGGGCAGCUGCCCCGAGGGAAGGUCCUUCUGACCGCCAGUGUCUGUGGCUGGCUGUCCAGGAAGCAGAGCCAGGACUGGCAGCUUGGGCUCCGAGGACUGCCUCUUCCUCUUGGCUGCCAGGGAGUUUCCAAUCAUCAGAAGAAACAGACUCUGGGAACAGCUCUGCCACUUGUCCCAGCCCUGCCCCAGCCUCUGAGCAACUGGAGCCCAGAUGCCCUGGCCCACCCUAAGCUAUCCAUAAGCACAGGUGGGCCUGAAGGAGGCUCCCUGCUGGGCGUGGGCGAGGGUCUUGGCCUUCUAGGUGGGACCCUGCCUGCCAGGGGACAGCCUCUUAGGUGGGUGGGAAAGAGCUCUGUACUUGGGGUCACAAAUGUGGCUUCUGGCCCUGCUCCACCAAGGGCCAGUGCGUGAUUUUAAAUAGAUCUCUUCGCCUCUCUGAGCCUUAGUUUCUUGGUCUAUAAAAAAAUGGGACCCUAACCUCUCCUCACUGCGGUGUGGGAGGGAAAAUGAGUCAAGGCAAGAAAGUGCUGGAAACUGAAAGCCCUGGGCAGGACCUGCUCCAUAAUUUGCCAAGUUCAGGGCAAAAAUGAAAAGGUGGGGCCGGGCGCCCUGGCUCACACCUGUAAUCCCAGCACUUUGGGAGACUGAGGAAGGCAGAUCACUUGAGGUCAGGAAUUUGAGACUAGCUUGGCCAACAUGGGGAAACCCUGUCUGUACAAAAAAUACAAAAAAUUAGCCAAGCGUGCUGGCGCGCCUGUAGUCCCAGCUUUGCAAGAGGCUGAGGUGGGAGGAUGGCUUGAGCCUGGGAGGUGGAGGCUGCAAUGAGCUAUGACCGCGCCACUGUACUCCAGCCUGGGCGACAGAGCGAGACCCGUUCAAAAAUACAUAACAACAUAGCAUAACAUAUAAAAUAAAAUGUAAAUCAAAAAUAAAAAUGAAAAAGUGG